This 281-nucleotide unclassified non-coding RNA is filed under the name Hevea brasiliensis (rubber tree). The record is from RNAcentral. Lineage: Eukaryota; Viridiplantae; Streptophyta; Magnoliopsida; Malpighiales; Euphorbiaceae.
CACAAAUUCAUCAUCAACAAACACAACAUGUCUGGAUUCAUCGAGAAAAUUGGUGAGAAGCUCCACAUUGGAGGAGACCACAACAAAGGGGAGCAUCACGAUGCUCAUAAAGGCGACCAUCACGAUGCCCACAAAGGAGAGCAUCACGAUGAACACAAGAAGCACGGCAAAUCGGAGGAGCACCAUGGAGAAGGCCACAAGGAAGGGCUGAUUGACAAGAUCAAGGACAAGAUCCAUGGAGAUCAUGAUGACAAAGGGGAGAAGAAGAAGAAGAAGGAGAA